GUCGCAUGCUUCCGGCCGCCAUGGCGGCCGCGGGAAUUCGAUUAGAGUUUGAUCAUGGCUCAGAUUGAACGCUGGCGGCAUGCCUUACACAUGCAAGUCGAACGGCAGCACGGGAGCAAUCCUGGUGGCGAGUGGCGAACGGGUGAGUAAUACAUCGGAACGUGCCCAGUAGUGGGGGAUAACCCGGCGAAAGCCGGACUAAUACCGCAUACGACCUACGGGUGAAAGCAGGGGAUCGCAAGACCUUGCGCUAUUGGAGCGGCCGAUGUCAGAUUAGCUAGUUGGUGGGGUAAAAGCCCACCAAGGCGACGAUCUGUAGCUGGUCUGAGAGGACGACCAGCCACACUGGGACUGAGACACGGCCCAGACUCCUACGGGAGGCAGCAGUGGGGAAUUUUGGACAAUGGGCGCAAGCCUGAUCCAGCCAUGCCGCGUGCGGGAAGAAGGCCUUCGGGUUGUAAACCGCUUUUGUCAGGGAAGAAACGCUCCGGGCUAAUACCCUGGAGUAAUGACGGUACCUGAAGAAUAAGCACCGGCUAACUACGUGCCAGCAGCCGCGGUAAUACGAAUCACUAGUGAAUUCGCGGCCGCCUGCAGGUCGACCAUAUGGGAGAGCUCCCAACGCGUUGGAUGC
RNAcentral lists this ribosomal RNA (634 nucleotides) under uncultured beta proteobacterium. RNAcentral describes it as "partial 16S ribosomal RNA". It matches the Rfam family "Bacterial small subunit ribosomal RNA", at positions 1 to 611 of the family's 1533-position model. The record is from RNAcentral. Lineage: Bacteria; Pseudomonadati; Pseudomonadota; Betaproteobacteria.